RNAcentral lists this transfer RNA (68 nucleotides) under Ochthebius anxifer. RNAcentral describes it as "transfer RNA-Leu". RNAcentral also lists the same sequence under 1 other name. The record is from RNAcentral. Lineage: Eukaryota; Metazoa; Arthropoda; Insecta; Coleoptera; Hydraenidae.
UAUUGUUAUUUUGGCAGAUUAGUGCAUUAAAUUUAGAAUUUAAUUAUGUAAAUUUUUACAAAUAAUAC